RNAcentral lists this long non-coding RNA (1984 nucleotides) under Buteo japonicus. Its description in RNAcentral is "lncRNA (ENSBJAG00000004089.1)". Lineage: Eukaryota; Metazoa; Chordata; Aves; Accipitriformes; Accipitridae. The record is from RNAcentral.
UUAGAAAGUGGUCUAUCUGAAUGUUUCUAGAUUCUGUGACCGGAGAUGAUGCCGCUGCUUACAGAUGCCAGCAAGAGCUAUACAACUCUGUGCCAAGAGCACAGACAAAAUACUCUGCUGCUGUACGUUAGUAUAGGUUACAGAAGUAGAUGGGCUGAGCUGCUUUAUGUUAGCUAAGGAUAUAUAGAAAACUUUUUAAUGUACCUUUUUUCAGCUAUUCUUUCCACAACAACAUUUCUGUCUUAACACAUUUAGCUUAGUGCUGUAAGUGCUCUGCUCUGUGUUUGCCCUGCUAGUAUGGUGGGAUGAGAGGCCAGUGCAAGAUCCUGCAAGCAGUGAAGGUGGCAUGUUCAGAUUCAGAGAAAUAUUAAACAAAUCCAGAAACACCAGCUCCAUGCUAGAGAACCUCUUAGAGUGUAGAUUCAGUUUUGUGAGAAAGACAUCUAGGCAGGUGAAGCUGAAACAGCAUCCUGGAUCCUGAACCUUGCUAUGAAAUUCCUUUGCUGUUCCAGGUUUUCUAGAAAAAUGCCUGACACAGAACAAUGCUCACUCCCUAGGAGUUUAGGUAAAGACAGGAGAAAAUAUUGGUGCUACUUGAACAAAUCUGUGUGCAUUCUGUACAAUUAAUCUCCCUUUCUUCCAGGGUUCAGUGUGCUGCUGAAGCUCUUGGACUCAGAGAAUGAAAUAAUCGUGGGAAAUGCUGCUUUCUGCCUUGGCCAGUGCCUUGCAGUUCCUGGAGCAGCGACGUCCUUACUGAAUUCCAAUGUUGUGAUGAUUUUGUUGAAACAUGCUGGUGGUGAUGCUACAAGAACUUCAGUGCAGGAGAAUGCAGCAAUUGCUCUGGGGAAGCUUUGUGUCGCUGAAUCAAGGCAUAUUUUUCAGCUGCGGAAACUCAAUGGACUGGCCAUCCUGAACUCCUCUAUGAAAUACAUUCAUAGCAUCUGAAAUCUUCAAGAGAGCUUCAAAAUGUGCUGUUAAUAUUGCUUGCUGUUGAGUAUUUUCUUCUUUUCUUUAAUAAAACUAACUCAAAGCACAUCAACUUUUCAAUCCCUUUUCAAAGUCCUCCAUAGAAGCCAGUGAAACAAUAUCAAUAUAAGUAUCAGGAGAAAGAAGUUAAUUUAUUAUCUAGGCUAACAACUACACUAAGAGCUUCCGUUAAGCUUGUCUUUGCUUUAAUAAUUCAUGUUGCCCUCUUACUGGCAAGUUCCUUGCUGAAUAAUCAUUGACCAAUGGCUCACCUAGUCUACUUUCCGGUUUGGGUCCAGUACCCAGCAUAUUAGAAGAAAAUAAAAACAAAUUGUGGGUUGUGACUUUGAAGAAUCCUUUCUGUGUGUGUGCGCCCCCCCCCCCAAUAUGCUGUCCUCUGGUGGCUAGAUUAUGAUUCAGUAUCUCAUGUGUGAUAUUGCCUUACAUUUUGCUUAAACCUUAAAUCUCAUACUUACUUGCUUAAAUAUGUUGGUCUUAAUUUCACUAGUCUUAGUGAUAACUUAUGACAAUGAGGUUUGUGUAUGAAUUAUGGGCUGUUUAUUUUAGUAGUGUUACGCUUACUAUCUUUGUAAAUUUGUAAAUGGUAUCCCUUGGUCCAUUACUUUUGUGUGGAGUAAGAACAGUAGUUGACCUUCCUGAUCUUAAGUAUUUUCACAUGGCCCCUUGUCUUCAUCUCUAAUAUCCUCUACAGUUACUCAUUUUUGAAACAAUAACACAAAUGGCACAUCCUUCUAGCAUCUGUGUUUUCUGGAGAGGUCAAAAAUGAAUUACUACUAAGGGCAAGUGUAAUUUGAAAAGAAAGGCAGUCAUGCAUUACUCUUACCUCUUCUGUGUUCUUCAAAAAAAGGCAGUUUAAGAUGCUUCUGGAAAGCAUAUCUGCUGGGGACUCUGGUGGUGGUGCUAACAGAACAGCAGCUAUAGUACUGGUGGCAGAAGCCUGUCAAAUUUAACGAAUAGUCUCUUCACAAAUAAACAGAUGCACCUAGACACAAACCUA